CCCUUAGAUGUCCUGGGCCGCACGCGCGCUACACUGACGGAGGCAGCGAGCUUACCCCUUUGCCGAAAGGCAUGGGAAAUCUUUUGAAUCUCCGUCGUGCUGGGGAUAGAUCAUUGCAAUUAUUGAUCUUGAACGAGGAAUUCCUAGUAAGCGCAAGUCAUCAACUUGCGUUGAUUACGUCCCUGCCCUUUGUACACACCGCCCGUCGCUCCUACCGAUUGAAUGUUCCGGUGAGCUCUUCGGACUGCGCGGUCUGCAGUUUCUGCGUUCCGUGCGGAAAGUUGCGCAAACCUUAACAUUUAGAGGAAGGAGAAGUCGUAACA
This 323-nucleotide ribosomal RNA is filed under the name uncultured eukaryote. RNAcentral describes it as "partial 18S ribosomal RNA". It matches the Rfam family "Eukaryotic small subunit ribosomal RNA", at positions 1470 to 1796 of the family's 1831-position model. The record is from RNAcentral.